UGUGUGACAGAGGUUCCUAGCAGAACACUUGAAAAGGUAAGCUAAUCAAAAUGAAGACACUGUUAGUUCUCGUCUUCAAGACAGCCUUCUUAAAGAUAGUUCACAAUUACAAGACUCAACCAUUGUCGACAAUUUUAUUGUCAAAGUCAUUGGACAAAGGAUAUUUUCUAUUUUAUGCAGGGCCAGGCUUGGACUAUUAUGAAUGUUGCUGAACACUGUUAAUCAAGCUUACACAGCUAUUUUGAUGGCAAACAAUUAGAACUCUGCAGCUCUACCUUGCAAUUAGCUUCAGGGAUAUGGACCUCAGCACCAUAAUAAUGAAAGAGACCUCCUUCAAGCACGACUUCCAAGCAUUGCUGUUACCAAAUUUCAUCAGCCAACUAUCUGCUGUGGCCUGUCAAACAGAAUCCACGUGCAUGAUCUGGAUUUUGAUUCGGGGAGCGCUUGCAAAAGAAUUAGUAGCAAAACAGGAUCCUGAAAGUUUUUCAAAGAAUCCUUUCAAGAACAACUCAAGUCACUGCAUAUGGCUGCAGUUGGGUAAUGUUCUGACUCCGAGGCAAACAGUGAUACCUAGAAUUGCACAACCUGAAAGCUGCACUUUCAGGCCCAGCCUCACCUUCCUGUUUACCCAACACUUCUAUGUACUUCAAUGUCCUGCUUCCACUUCUGCACUUCAGUAG
Molecule: long non-coding RNA, 680 nt
Filed under: Vulpes vulpes (red fox)
Lineage: Eukaryota; Metazoa; Chordata; Mammalia; Carnivora; Canidae
Description: lncRNA (ENSVVUG00000019597.1)
Source: RNAcentral